UUUUGGAAUGGUAAGAUUGCAGCAGAUGAUAAUUUGAGGAGAUGGGGAAUAGAAGGACUUACUAGGUUUUGGUGCUGCACCAUGGCAACUCAUGAAACAACUUCACAUGUGUUUCUUAAGUCUGGCACUGCUAACAGGACAUGGUCCUUUUUCUUAUUCUUUUGUAGGUAUAAGCAUGGUAGGAAAAAGCAUUAGAGAACUUAUGUAAUGACUCGGGACUAUCCCUUAGUCGUCACAUGGUGCUUACAAUCCCGAGUGACCACAAGCUAACCCAUGACUAAUAUCUGCUGUGAGCACUGAAUAAUAAUACUGUAAUUAAUGCAAAAAAUAGGAUGAAAUUCCAUAAAGUUCAAACUAUUUGAAAUACUGAUAAAAUUUAACAUCUGUAAAACUAAAUAUUAUUUGAAAAUCUAGUUUGAAAAGCCUCUAACUAAAUCUGUCUGAAAGUGGAGUUGAUAGGACAAUCCCCCAACUAACUCCCUUACUGAACUACUACAUUUACUAAAAUAUGAAAUAAUAGAAUAUCCUUGAAUGAUGAGGACUCACUGCUAAAUCUACUGUUGUUGGCCAAAUCUGAAUCUACUAUGCAUGGUCGGGAACCUGAGCAUCCAAACCUAUGAUAUGAAACAUCAUAGCGCAGGAAAGUAUGCAUCAAUACAUGGGAAUAUACUGGCAUGCUAGAUGAGGUAAGGCUGAAUGCAAAGGUUCAUAUCAUGAAGAGUAACUGACUAAAUGAUAUAGAGUAACUGAAUAUGAGAGUACAUGGUAACUAAAAAUACUGUAAAUACUGAGUAUGUAAUACUGUGAAUAUAUGUAUACUAUAACUGAGCUUUUCUGAAGCUAAGUACUAAUUUAUGAUAACUAAGUAACUGAUAUCUAAAGUUAGUGAUAACUGAUUUACUGACACUGAUUGACUGUGUCUAAUAGUUCUGAUUCUAUAAAACUAAACUAAGUUCUAAACUGAAGACUGAAACUGAAAUUAUGGGAGGUAAUCAUAUAACAGACAUGCCCCAAUUUGAGCUAAUUGAGGUCCAACCUAUAACCCCAAUUAGAAGGGUGUUAGCACCAUUCCAUAUGUACUAACAACUAUUUUAGAUUCAGUCCUAAUUAAUGGGUGACCCUUGAGAUCAGUCCUAAACUAACGGAUGAUCCCUGAGUAUGUCAAUCCUAUCUAACGGGUGACAUCUCUAAAUCUAUGCUAUCUACAUAGUUAUGGAACUUAGGGAUUCCUUUUAGGGACCCAGUCUUAGUUAAUGGGUGAGAACCCAUCCCUAGGCUCGCUCGGUGCUGAAUCCUACCUCUAACUGAUAGACACUGGUCUGAUUAUACUUAACUGUACUGGACUAAUAUAGAUUUCACUGAGUUUUCCUAAGUUAUGUAACUGACUGAGUUCUACUGAGUUCUAUAACUGAUUGAGAGUACUACUGAUUGUGACAUGACUGAUACUAUUCUAUCAAUGACACUGGCUCUAGGUAAACAACUAAAUUACCGGGUAUUAAAUACCUCAGGACUCGAUAGCAUGAAAAAUAAAGCAAAGCAUUAUCUUGAAUAACAUAACAAUGUUCACUUGGUCAUAAUUCAACACUUGUAAUGCAUUAACUUGUACAUGGAUGGGGAAUACAUGUUAGCAUGCUAUAAUGACCCUAUUUCAUUCUCAUAAAAAAUUUAUCAAACAUAAUAGAAGCAUACUUGGUUCAUUAAAUCAUAAACACUUAGGUUUAACAUGGUUACAACAAUUAACUUGCAAAUUGAAGGGUUUAUCAUGAAUAUCAUGUAAUUCAACACACACUAGAAUCAAUUCUUGGAAAUUGUAAUCUAAAUCAUGGAUUAAAACUCAAAAAACAUCAUGAACAUGAAUUCAAUCUAAUUCAAACAUGGAAAUCAUAAAUCAUAAAUCUUGUAUUUUGAAAAAGGAUUCUUGGGCUCCAUGGAAGGUAAGGGUCCUUGGAUGAACAUCGAACAUACCUUGGAAGAUUAUUUCUUGAAGAUUCUUGGAAGAAAUCUUUAGACUUAUUCUUGAUUUCUUGAACUAGGGUUUUGGCCUCUUCUAGAGAGAAUACAUUUAAUUUGGAGAUGAAUUGAAUAAUAAGUAGCUAAGGAUGUUUUUAAGGAUUAAAUCCCGUAUCUCGGCAUAAUAAAAUCGUGGUAAAGAAUUGUUUUAACCCUCGGAUCCUUUUAAUUUUUUGUGAAAUUUUUUUGAACUGGGCACCUGGUACGAUGCACCAUUAUCGCAUCGUGCCACUGGAAAGUGGACAACUGGGAACUGCACUGAUGGCGCGAGGCAGCGCCAUCAUAGUGCCUUACUGGUUGCAAAUUUUCCCUUUGGCGCGACGCGCCAAUGAUCGCGUAGUCACGCUGGAAAGUGACAAUCAGGAAAAAGGCUAGUAGUGCGAUGUGAUGAUAUCAUGUUAUCCACUAGAAAAUGACAAAUUCCAUUUGGACUGCCUUCGUGACGCGCUAGAGUACCAGAUGGUACACUGUCUUGCUAAAAUAGCUCUAACUCUUCGACCGGGUGUUGGAUUUGGGCAAAUUUGGUAUCGAUGGAAAGCUUAUUUAAUUUCUCACACAAUGAAAAUUCAAAAUCUUGAAAAUUAUACAUGUAUAAAAUUUUAUUCUUCCUUAAAUCAAGUCUUUGACAUAUUUUGGAUGAAUUUAAGCUAGGUAAAUGUACGGGAUAUUACAACUUAUUAUGAGAUGGUGGAAUUCUAAAUUCUCUGGACAAAUUGGAGCAUAUUAUCAAGAUAUUCCAAGAUUGAUAUUAUCAGAACUAUGGAGGAGAAGAAAUAACUCAAAACAUGAAAGGAAAAUAUUGUCUACUCACUUGGUAUUAGUCAAUAUUCAAAGAAAUAUUGGACUCUUACUGAGAGUAAGAAAUCCAGGACAAAAUUUUCCAAUUAUGUGGCCUGAUAUUCUUACUAAAUUAGAGAAGAGAAGAUCUAAAUCGAGAGUCAUAAAAGUGGAAUGGAGAUUUCCAAAUGAAGGAUGGCUGAAGUAUAAUAUAGAUGGGGCUUCUAAAGGUAAUCCUAGGGUGAGUUCUACUAUUUUUUGUCUAAGGGAUCAUAAGGUAGAUCUAGUAUAUGAUGACGGAGCUAAAAUUGAUGACACUACAAACACUAAAGCAGAAACAUGUCAUAUUCUAAAAGAAGUUAUUCAUUGUGGACACUCCCAAUUCAAAAAUGUCAUUAUUCAAACAGAUUCUUUGUUUAUGUUCAAGAUAUUGACUAAGGAAUGGGUUUUUCCAUGGAAUUUAGUAGACACAAUAGAGAACAUCACAUCAGAGUUGAAACAUAAAUGGAUAGUUUUUCAACACAUAAGGAGGGAAGGGAAUCAAUUAGUAAAUCAUCUAGCGAAUGCAGCAAUAGAAAAGAAAAUUUUAGUAUAACUUUAUUUUAGCAGUUGGAAAUACAGGGGAAGAAGAUCUUAAAUAGUGACAAACUACAGUGCCCUUACAUUAGAUUAUCAGUAGUAAAAUCAUGAGAAGGCUUAAGGCCAUAGAUACUACCAAAGACUACAAACAUCUAUUUAUAAUCUAGGAGGCCAACACUUAUAACCAAAUUUGUCUAACCUAUACAAAUUUAACCAUCAAAAAGGACUCUUAAGAAGGAGAAAGGUCAAUGAUGUCUAAGUAUCUAAGACACCUGGGCACAAAAGGUAAUCUAAUAGUUUUGUGGGUUCGAGCAUCUCUGUAUCUCCAUCCACACUACAACUAUCAACAAAAAGGAGUAAGAGUGAUGAAUAAGCAUAAAGUGAGGAGAAGAAGAUCGAAGUAUACCUAUACAUGCAAUCAUCUCCAGGAACCUUUGACCCUUAAAUCAGCACCAAAAUCAAUGAUAAAACCCAUCCAGUAGAGAUCUCAGCUGAAACAACAAAGAGAAGAUAAAGGAGCAAUUAAUAAGGAAGAAGAAGAGCUACACAUUCGGAGGUCUAGAAGAAGCUUACUUCAAAAAGUUAAUAUCAAAACACAUUUCUAUAUUCCAAGGCACAGAAUUGAUGAUCCACAGUAAGAGAAAGAGGAAUUGGAGAUUCAGGUGAUGAUUUUCCAUGCUUCACCUGAUAAGUUCAAGGAGAGGCGGAAAUUAAGGGGAGGGAAUGAAUUGGGAAACCAUAGGACUAGUUUUAUAUGUCUGAAGAAGAU
This 4135-nucleotide long non-coding RNA is filed under the name Capsicum annuum. Its description in RNAcentral is "long non-coding RNA (CANN_LNC015517)". Lineage: Eukaryota; Viridiplantae; Streptophyta; Magnoliopsida; Solanales; Solanaceae. The record is from RNAcentral.